CAUGGCCCUUGAGACCUGUGUACCUGCUUGCCUUUCUCAAGCACACCUGUUUUGCCUCUAAUUCCUAGGUGGUCUGGCAUGGAAGAAGGCCAGAGGCUGCGAUGGAUCAUCUUUGUCUUGGGAGAUUCCUGGAGAUGGUGGGGAGCCCCUGGGCACGUGCAGCAUAUGUGGCGUGGGCUUCUUCAGGUGCUGGUGGAUCCCUCAGGAUGGUAAAUGUCCAUUUUCCAAAAUCUUCUGAUAUUCCAUCUUUGUAGGUACAAAGACUGUGCAUGGAUCGAUGAUGACUUUUAUACAUGCAUUCCUUGGAAAGCUGAACAAAAUGAGUGAAAACUCUAUACCGUCAUCUUCGUUGAACUGAGGUCCAGCACAUUGCUCCAACAGUGGGUAGAUAGAGAGGGAAAACUUCCAUUUGUUGACGCAGGUUCCAUUGAGGGGUUUGUCCAGGCUUAGGAUGGGGUCCCCUUUGGGCAAAGGGAGUCACAGGGGAGUGCGGCCUCCUGUGCACAGGAGAUUCCUUGUGUGAAGGAUUUACCUCUGUGAGAGCAGGGUAGCACACAUAACUAUGCAGGAGCAGGUGAAUGUGCAGGUGGCACAGGAAGAGUUAGAUGGCAGCCUGUCUCUGCACAGCGAGGUUUGACUUGUCCUAGCUCUGCAUUCCCUCAUCCCUUAGAGGAAGUUGGUUUCUUCAGAAGACUUAAAUUUGUGGAAUUCAGUAGAAUAUUAUCCACAUAAUGUUCCCAGUGAAUGCCUGCAAAAGCAAGCGAAGCACGCUAUCUGCCUGCAUGAGCCCCAUGUACCUGGCGUGGCCUGUGCUCCUCACCGUGUGUCCCA
Long non-coding RNA from Homo sapiens (human), 831 nucleotides. Ensembl annotates it as small nucleolar RNA host gene 14. Its record names the gene SNHG14. The record is from Ensembl. NCBI's taxonomy places the organism in Eukaryota, Metazoa, Chordata, Mammalia, Primates, Hominidae.